GAUGAACGCUGGCGGCGUGCUUAACACAUGCAAGUCGAACGGAAAGGCUCCUGCUUGCAGGGGUACUCGAGUGGCGAACGGGUGAGUAACACGUGGGUGAUCUGCCCAGCACUUCGGGAUAAGCCUGGGAAACUGGGUCUAAUACCGGAUAGGACGAUGGUUUGGAUGCCAUUGUGGAAAGUUUUUUCGGUGUGGGAUGAGCUCGCGGCCUAUCAGCUUGUUGGUGGGGUAAUGGCCUACCAAGGCGUCGACGGGUAGCCGGCCUGAGAGGGUGCACGGCCACAUUGGGACUGAGAUACGGCCCAGACUCCUACGGGAGGCAGCAGUGGGGAAUAUUGCACAAUGGGCGCAAGCCUGAUGCAGCGACGCCGCGUGGGGGAUGACGGCCUUCGGGUUGUAAACUCCUUUCGCUAGGGACGAAGCGCAAGUGACGGUACCUGGAGAAGAAGCACCGGCUAACUACGU
RNAcentral lists this ribosomal RNA (465 nucleotides) under uncultured bacterium. RNAcentral's name for it is "partial 16S ribosomal RNA". It matches the Rfam family "Bacterial small subunit ribosomal RNA", at positions 28 to 506 of the family's 1533-position model. The record is from RNAcentral.